UACGUAGGGUGCGAGCGUUGUCCGGAAUUAUUGGGCGUAAAGAGCUCGUAGGCGGUGUGUCACGUCGGCCGUGAAAACCUGCAGCUUAACUGUGGGCGUGCGGUCGAUACGGGCAUCACUGGAGUUCAGCAGGGGAGACUGGAAUUCCUGGUGUAGCGGUGAAAUGCGCAGAUAUCAGGAGGAACACCGGUGGCGAAGGCGGGUCUCUGGGCCGAUACUGACGCUGAGGAGCGAAAGCGUGGAGAGCAAACAGG
RNAcentral lists this ribosomal RNA (254 nucleotides) under uncultured bacterium. Its description in RNAcentral is "partial 16S ribosomal RNA". It matches the Rfam family "Bacterial small subunit ribosomal RNA", at positions 524 to 776 of the family's 1533-position model. The record is from RNAcentral.